GGCAGGAACCACCCGGCUCGGCGGCGCAGGGUGGGCCGCCGUCACCUGACCGCCCGCCCCCGCCCCCCGCGAGUAAGGGGCGGUGGUAGCGUCUGCUCGGUUACAAAUGGCCCCUCCCGCCCGGCUCGCCCGCUCGCUCGAGCUCGGCGCCGACCAGCCCGGGCGUGCUCCUGCUGCCGGUUGCCGGCUGCUCGCGUCCUAGCGCCUGGCUCCCGGGUCUGGCCACCGCGGACGUGCCGAGCACGCGUAGCCAAGGCCCGGCGGUCGGGGUCGCGAUGGAUGUCUGGGCGGCCGAGGAGGCGUGUGGCUCGUCCUCCUGCAGGUGCUCCUGUGACGUGAUGGACAGAUACGCGUUCUUCUGCCCGAGGGGUGCAAAUGACACCAAGUGAGAGCCGAGUGCCUGCGUCAGCACAUUUUGCUUCCUGGGGACUCCUGUCCGGAGCAGAAACACCAGAGUCACUGGAGGAAUCUGUGCCUGGCCCCGCCCUCUCCCAAGCACAGAAUGAAGAACGAGAUGGGACUUCCCGUUUGGCACCCAGAUGAGCGUGGGUAGGCCCUGUAGUAUGCACAGGUCAGAAUUGCACAGAGAAGAGGCACACAGAGAGAGGUCUUCCAUCUGCUGGUCACUUCCCAAAUGGCUGCAAUGGCCGGAGCUGCGCCAAUCUGAAGCCAGGAGCUUCCUCCGGGUCUCCCACGUGGGUGCAGGGGCCUGAAGACUUGGGCCAUCCCCUACUGCUUCUCCCAGGCCACAGCUGAGAGCUGGAUCAGCAGUGGAGCAGCCGGGUCUUGAACCGGCGCCCACAUGGGAUGCUGGCGCUUCAGGCCAGGGCAUUAACCUGCUGCGCAACAGCACCGGCCCCUAGUGUGGACUUGAACCUGGGCAAAUCCAGCUAUGGGGCUCAGCCAUACUCUUCAUCCCAGCAGGCCUCAGACUAGGAGGGCAGCCUGGACACCCGCCAAGGUCACUGCAGGUACGGGCAGUCCUGACAAGUGAUGUGACUGAUUCUGCUGGAGCGUGCUGUGGUUGUGAUUCCUGGGCCUUCCGUUCAGCCCCUUGGAGCCCCAGCCUGUGAAGAGCCCUGGAAGAGAGGUGCUUCACCUGAUCUUCCUGUGUAACCCCUUCCUUUAGCAUCCUCUGCUCACAGCAGGGUGGGGCUGCCAGAAAGAGUUUGCAGGCACUUUGACACCCUUGUCUGAAAGACCUUGGCAUUGGCAGGUGUGCAGAUACCGUGGUAGACUUGGAAACCAUGUCAUGGAAACCAGACAUUGUUUUUAAGGAGCCCGUGAGGGCCAGGGUGGGAGCAAGAAGUUGGGAGAAGCCUCGUGCACACUUUCCCGAGCAUUGGAUUGACCAGACAGGGCUCCAAAGCUGGUACAACAGGAUUAGCACAAUGGCUUUGUUGGCCAUCGGCACAGCGUGACAUGAGCUGCAGCAGAGGCAUUUGGCAGGAUUAACCUGCCAAGGAUAAAGAUGUAGCAGACAAGGGCCUGAAUUAAUGGAUUGGCAUGACCGAAGCACAGAAAUCUAUUUGCAUGUGGUACUAGCUGUGCUAAUAAACCCUGGGUUGAGCUCUGGGGGCUAGGCAGUCUGUUUGAACCAGGAAGAGUUUUUUGGUUUUGUUGUUUUAAUGUUCAUUUGUAUUUGAAAGGCUGAGCAACAAGGAAGGGGAGAGAGAGCUGCCAUCUGCUGGUUCAUUCCCCGAAUGCCCGCAACAGCUGGCGCCAGGUGAGGCCAGCCCCAUGAGCCCCAGCACUCUGUGAGUCUCUCACAUGAGUGACAGGGGCUCAAGCACUUGGGCCAUCAUCUGCCACCUCCCAGGAUGCAUCAGCAGGAAGCCGGAUGGGAAGCAGAGCAGCCAGGACGUGAGCUGGCCCGCGGACAGGGGAUGCAUCAUCUUCCAGAACUAACAGGCGGAAAAACGUUUGGUUGAUUGGAGACCUCUGAUGUGAUAAAGCUUCGAUAGAGGUCACGUGCUCGUGUCGCCUGCAGCAAGGGGUCACUCCGUGCUGGUGAAGGCGGCCAGGCAGGAGGAGCUGCGUUCACCCUGCCGAGCCUUUGGGAGCCACAGAGAACCGACACAAGUAGGCCAAGGCAGAAAACAGAGAGAAAGGCUUUGGUUCAAAGGGGCACCUAAUUUUGGAACGCUGGGCAGCUUGCUUUUUCUUAAAGUGCUCCUGGGGUGGUGAAAAGGCCCUGAGGCAGGGCUGUGUGUGUGUUCCACCAGGGCCGCUGAUGUGGCUGGAGGACUCGGGGCUCCUGUCCAGGCACCACGAGACAGGUCACACCCCGCCCGGAUGCUGUGUCUGCCUGGGAGCAGCGGUAGCUGGAGCUCACUCAAGGUUCCAUCCACAGGCCAGGCCCCACUUCUGACAUUGCGGGAGGCUCACACACGUGUCUCUGCGAGCUGAAAGCAAGCACAGCUAGUGUGCACGUGGAGGGAGGCGGCGCUGGGUGGGCAGGCAGCGCUGGAGUGCCAGGGCCUUGUGGAUGUUAUUACAGAGGUCCCAGGAGGUGAGGAGGGUGUGAUGCUAUGGUUGGCGCAUGAUCUUCCCGCCAACUUUCCCAUUCAUCCCCUAAGCUCACAAGCCCGUGAUACUGGGAAGGUGGGGACGUGAGCCCAGGGAGGUAGGUCCCUGUGCGAAGUCCUUACGUCCCUGGGGGCACAGUCUCAGGUACACCUGAGCGGGGUCCAGCCACGCGCUCUCUGCUUCCUGCUUCCCCACGUGAGCCCGCACCCACCUCACCAGAGAGGCCAGCCCCAUCUCAGGAACUCAGAAACCGUGUGCCAGCUUUCACCAGUAGCUCGUCCUUGGUGUUGGGUGGUGCCGUGAGAAGUUGACCCAUGCAGAGGUCCCGAGCAGGGGAUUGUGAUGUGGCUACAGGGAGGGACAACUUCGACGCUUACCACGAUGUUCAAACCAGAGGUGUCGGGAGUUUGGGUCUGCGGUGUUGCUGGCCCUAGAGAUGAAGACGCACACUUAAGAGGGCAAAAUAAGGGACUUCCAGAUCUUCUAAUGACUCACGGGGGAUAUCUUGACUGUCAUGAUGCCUGCACCCCCCCCCCCAACGUUGCAUCAAUUGUCAGCACAGCCGAGCUGAAGUCUCUCCUGUUCCAGGUGCUGCGUGCAUGGUUGCUGAACUGCCUGGUGACCCGACAAAGGCCUCUGGCCUCAGGAUCACCAACCACCAGGCCCACACGAAGAGUUAAACCACAGCGGAAGGACACGCAAGGUCGAAUCCCAUCCCGGAAGUCUGCCAUCCUCGGAACACGUGGGAGCUACUCCAGGUGUGGCCUUCAAGGGCGGGGGACCCUGAAGAAGCACACAGAUCCUGAGGGCGGAGGCCUCGGCAGAGCUGCCACACCCAGCGCAAGCGGCGACGCCACACCGGAGACAGCACGGUGCGGUGCAGCAGCUGGUGUUGUGAAUCAGGCCGUUGCCACUCCGAGAACGGCUACUUCACAACACCAGGGUCGCACCCCACCACGGGCAGCGCCGGAACCAGCAGCGGCAUCGGCAGCCAGCCAGCCACGCCCUCCACCGGGGCGUUCCGAGGGCCACGUCCACCUGGCUCCAGACCCCAGCUCCUGCUGGGGCUCCACUGCAGGUUUCCCACUGCGUGCACAGAGCUGUGGGCCGCCCCUAAACUGAGCGUUUCCACUUAGGGCUGGGGCUUUAGGGACUUUGGUUCAGUGCUUGGCCAUGGCAGCAAAGUGGAGGUCAGGGCGGACCGAGUUACAGCAUGGCGAUGUCAGGGGACACUCCUAGAAAGAGGAGGGCCAUUGGUAGCCCCAGCAGGGGGAGGGUCCGGAGACGCAGGCUGGAGGGGUGCUGUCUUCAAGGCCAAGCACCCAGCCAAAGUUAGUAUGUGAGUGUUUUCACGCCUCACAGCUCCUCCAUGAGGCCUUAGCAUUUUCUGGGGCCCAGGGGCAGUGCCCGAGGCAGAGCCCCUCUGUGGGUGAUGUCCCUGCAGAGGCUGUCAGAGUGUCGGGCCGCUCUGGUUAACCUCGGUGCUGGCAGCGUUUGCUCAGGGCUUUGCUGCUGUCCCCUUAGAAAGCCCGGCAGAGGACAAAGCCAAGCCCUGCGCCAACACGGCCCAGUGUCAAGGUUACACAGACAGAGCCCACCUAUCUCUCCCCUUAGGGUUCUGGGAGGUGAGUCGGGCGCUCCGGGUCUGUCACCCCCUCCCCAUGCCACUGAAGGCAUCUGACACAUGGAGGUGGUUGUGCGUGGAGAGAAACACCUUCAGCCUAGAUGCCAGCCGGUCAGCUCCUUGCAGUGGUGUCGUGGCCAGCACCCACUCCCAGAGCCCCAGCACCUGCCCUGCGAGGCGUGGUCCCAGGUAAAUACCAAGUCCACAGCGCUCACACUAUUGGGAACCGAUGGUUCCUGCUGGUCCCGCCCCAGCCCCGCACAGCCACUGCACUACCUGCUGAGGAGCCAGGGCGACAGGGACGAUGCUGAACGGGGAUGUCUCCGGUCCUGGCUCCUGGAGACCCAGCAAAGCCCUCUGCAUGGGAUUCUUGAGCCAGGUACGCCAGUCUGUGUUCUUUAUACCAUGGUGGAUUCUCACUGUGACUCUAGAUGCUUCAUCAUGGAACCCAAUUUAGAAAAAUCUCCUAAAAUAAAUGGGGCCCAGUCCUCAGAGAGGCCGGGUGAGACCCAGAGGAAGUGCUCCUUAAUGCUGCUGUCACGCUGGGGAAUUCAUUGGAGGUUUGUACUGUGGGCUGCAGAAGGCGACCCCGGGGCUGCCUGCCCUGUUCUUAGCUCUGGACAAAGCCCCACCCAGGCCAUACACCUCUGACCACAGGGUGGCUGCUUUUCCCAGACACGGCGUACCUCCCUGGGACCAGGCUUCCCUGCCAUUCUCCGAUCUUGCAGAGCCUCUGCCCACAGACUGGAUGGCACGUGGCCAGAAAGAAGAGUGCUCAUGCUCGCGCAUACACACACCUCUUCUCUCGGCUCCUGACUUAGCCCUAGGUUGAGACUCUCCAUGUUGUCGCUUCCUUGGGGGCAGUUAGCCACGUUCCUAAUGACAGCGUUCUCCCCAGAGAUCCCCCCACCCCCGGCCCACCAGGAGCCUUAGUGACGCAGGGGACUCGCACCUGCCACCUUGUCCUUUCCAACUGCUGAGCUUGCUCAGGACUUCUGGCAACAGCUGGAUGUGGAGAGGUAAGCCCCGAGCCAACACCCCCAACCUGCUGAGGCAGGAGCUGAGCUAACUCCAAAGUGGAGUCCCCGAGCCUGCCACCUGUGGCAGUGUGCCAAGUCCAGGGCGUUCACCGGAUGCUGAAAGGGAAACUACUUUUUGGAAUUUUCAGUCAACGCUCAGGCAUUCUGGGCAGCGGAGCGGAGCCUGCCCAUCUUCACCGGGAUCAAGAGGCCCCGGGGGAGGCUGGGAGGUCAAAGUUACUUUCAGCCAGCGUUAGCGCAGUGCGUGACACAUACCUGCCUUUAACAUGAGCUCCUCCCUGCGCUGUUUUAAGGGGAGGGGCUAGAGGCCAAGGGGCGUUUGGUAACUUUCUCACCAGGGGUAGGGGCAGAUUUGAGCCCCGGGGUGCCCCCAGGUGAGCGCGUGGGAACUAAGCACCUCUGUCCACCUGAGCAGUGGAAAGCCACCUCGAUGACUGGCAGCUCCCUGUGGGGGAACCCUGGCCCUUACACAGACUGCCGCAGAGCCAAGUGCCAGGCAGCUGCUCUGUUCAAGUGUGAACAUUCCUGUUCCUGGUGGGGUGGAGGGGGACGGGCUUGUCCUGGGGGGAGCAGCCACCACCCGGUUCCCUGGGCCCCGUGGCUCAUCUUGCAUGUGUUCCCCGUGCGUGCCACAAAGGCAUUUUCAACCCUAGCAUCAGUCUUGUUACGCCAGUGGCUUUUUCCCCCUAGUAAUUUGGGGCAAACAUUCCUACCCAUGAGGCCAUCGGGAAAGCUGCGGUGCCAACCCCACCCCCAACUCCCCAAGAAAAUGAGGCACACACCUUGCUGAGAUUCCAGGGACAGGGCUGAAGUCCUCAGCUUCCUGCCAGUCUUCGAUGGAGUUUAAAGGGAGGGGACUAGGGAAAGCCUGCUCCGUCUUCCCCACCUCCGUCCCCUACCUGAGCCAAAGCGUUUGUUUGAAGCUGUGAUUUUAAAAGGCACUGACACAAAAAAAGUUUUAAUUUUUUUCUUAAAGGGCCAAGAAUAAAUACAAAACCUACCUUCUGCUGUGGCCUCUGGCUGCCUGGCACACUGGUUCCCUUCUGAGACUUGAACCAUCGCCCCUCAGUUUCCAGGACUUGGCCCAGGGGCCAAAAGCAGGGAGACCUAUGACAGAGGCACAGCAGAAGAUGAGCCAGGGGUCCCUAAGUCUAGGAAACCCUGUCUUCCUGCUGGGACAGGUACAAGGACCAGGGCCAGGCACCUGCUGCCAGUCCAUCUGAGCUGACCCCAGACAGCAUGGGUAGGACCACCCUCCAGACCUCCUACCUCCCCCCAACCGCAAACCCCAGAGCCUGGGGGGUGGAUUACAGACCCUGCUGCACUGGACCCCAGGGUUGCUCUGUGGGCCUCACUAGACUGGAAGAGGUUGUGUGUGCGCAUGCGCAUACAUGCAUUUAUUUGCAUGUAUAUUGUCUUGUAUGUGAUUGAUUUGAUACUCUUUCGUCUUUCCUAUCCUGUCUACCCCAAAAUGCUCAGAAGCACAAUAGAAAAUCCCACUGUUCCAGCAACACGGUGUUCAGAUACAAAGAUGGCAGAUAAAACACCGAAGUCCCUUCUCAGCCUAUCCCCGAGAUAACCAGCGCAUCCGUUUUACAGCCUGGGCACUUUUGAGGUCACGGAAGUCACACACACUUCGAGAUGCCUCAGGCAGGUGAACCAUGAAUGCUUCCUUGCUCAGGUUACCCUGGUGGGCGCAGGGCGGGAGGCCACACCCAUCAGUGCAAUGCACGUCCCCACCUCUGACCACUGGAGCACGCGAAAUGGGCAAGGCUGGCCUCCCGUCCUUGAACCAAGUCAGCUCCCAAGGCCCUGACCGCGCUGCCCGCCCUGCCCCAGGGCCACACGCAACCUGCCCUGUCCCCUGUGUCCCUCACCCCAGCUACCCCUGAGGGCCCUGCGGAGACUUGAAUGAGUCUCUUCCAGGUGAGACCCCGCCCUCCCUGCUAUGACGUCAUCCACAUAAGCUCCUCCCCUUUCCUACACCUGCGGUCUCGUCUCUUCCUCCUGGACUGGCAGCUGCCCCAGGGGUGGCGAUUGCUGUCUGCCUUGUCAAGUGCUCUAGCCCAGCACCCAGAGCACCCAUGGGCACUCAGCAAGGGUUCCCUACGGCUGUGCUGGGGGAACAAGUGUGGGACCCAUGCUUGCCAAAGCUGGGAGCCCGGCCGCCUUCUGUCCGCUUGGCCAGGACGCCCUCUUCUGAGAGGGUGGCCCCUCUCAGCUGCUGGCACGUAUCUCAAGCUCCAAGAAGCUGAGAGUGCUCUUGUCCACUUCCCACCGGGGGAGGCCUCUUGCUUGGUGGGUGAGGAGCAGGGGACGAUGCCUUCCGUGGCAGAGGGGGGACACUGACACCCGGAAGCUGACAUGGACAAACCCUGGAAUUGGGAGCUGCCACACACACAAAAGGACUCCCGGGGCUGGCUUCCCCGAGGCCCAGGGCAGAUGAGACUCCUCGGCCACGCCCCCGCAUUGCCCUGCACUUCCAAACGCUGCAGAGACACAAAGGGCAAUUGCGAAGUUUUGGGGGCCCCUCCUCCAGCCCUGUGUCAGCUUCAGCAGCACAGGGGCUGGGCCUGGGGUGCUCUCCCCUUCCCCAGCACCUGGCACCAUGCCGCGCCCACUGUCUGUGCCUUGAGGCACGGCUGACUUGGUGUGUCUCUGUGCUGAACACGUGGGAUGCUCACCACGUGCUCCCUGCCAUUACAGGACAUGCAGGGCCUCCCCCGAGAACCACCAGAUUCAGAUGCUAGUGUUUAUAGAUGGUACCAGCAGGCUGGGAUGCGAGGGCCUUCUUAAGUACACCCCUAUGUCCACAGACACAGGGUGAAAUAGAGUGGUCUAGGGUCUACAGGAGAGACCCUCACCUUGUGACUUGCAGCCAAGAGCAUUCAUUUGUAACUGGAACUGUCACAUCAGAAUGACUACCUACAACAAGACGUCCAGAUUUCACUCAGUGCCUCCAGGAUGCCACCCAAAGCCUUCUGCUCCCACCAUCCUUACUGCCUCCCGGUCCCAAGAGGACUGCUGCCGUUCCAGUCAUCACCUGUACAGUCCAGGAGGAAGUCCAGGGAAGUGGAAAGGCCGGUACUAUCCCCAAUCUGUUUACCAGGAGACACAGCUUUCCCAGAAGUUUCCACCUCCUUCCAGGCCUCAUCAGCCAGAGUUCUAUCACCUGGUUACCACUAGCUGCCAGAGGUGUUAGAAGGGUGAGGAGUCGCCCAGAGAGGAAAGGAAACCUGGUGGGGCACGGCGGCCGUGGGAUGGGCCAGGCUGCAGACUGGGCCGGCCUGCAGUGUUGCCCGAAAACCACGUCAGGUGUUCUUUAACGGGGGGUGGAGGUAGGGUUCUGAUCACAAAAGCAAUGCAUGUGGACUGUAAAGCUUUGAAAAGGAUUUUACACCUUUGUAAAUCUGUCGGUCUUUGGAAAGGAUGGACAGGCCCCCCUGUCCCAGCACGCAGGAAUAAGCACAGCUUCUUCCUUGACGUCCGUGUACUCGGAGUUGCCCUGGCAUUAGCUCCCGCACUCGGAAUUAUGGCAGAUCUUUCCGAAUCAUUAACUGUUCUUUGCAGAAUCCCAUUUUAGGCUCCUGUGUUGCGCUCCAUGGAAGAGGAAACCAUGACUUUUGUUGAGUCCCUUGGUGCUGCACAUUCUGAUGUUUAUAAAACGGGGGGUGGGGGGGCGGGGGGCCGAGCAACACCAGAGCAGCCACGUCUUUGGUCCAGGAAUGCGUCGGGAGGAUAAUCCCGAAUGUGCCCAUGCUGCAGAGCCAGACAAGGCGAGGACCCUUGCAGGUUAUCAAGGAGACGGGGCCAAGAGCUCUUGGGGACGGGAUGCGCCGUAGGCCCCGAGUCUGGACAGUCCCCGCUCUAGGGGUCACCCUGAGGAGACACCUGCUUCUGCCUCAGAACCACAUUGUCACCCAAGGCUUCUCCCACCACCAUUUCUGGAACUGGUCCUGGGAGAUGGGGCUCGGGGCGAGGCUCCCUUCCCAGUCGUCAUGGCUGCCACAGUGUGUCCCCGACCACUCUCUAGGUUGAAGCUCUGACCCCCUGGUGUGACUAUAUGUGGAGACAGGGCCUUUCGGGGGGUAAUUACAGUUGCAUAAGGCCAUAAGGAUGAGACCCGUCUCCUGCAGGACUAGUGUCCAGGUAAGAAAAGGAGCAGACGUGCAGGGGGAAGACCAGGCAAGGUCAGGGUGAGGCAAGGACCAAGGAGAAACCAAGUCUACAGGAACAUGGGAAAUAAAGUUCUUUAGUUGCA
Non-coding RNA from Oryctolagus cuniculus (rabbit), 9454 nucleotides. Lineage: Eukaryota; Metazoa; Chordata; Mammalia; Lagomorpha; Leporidae. The record is from RefSeq and is a predicted model, not a curated record.